RNAcentral lists this long non-coding RNA (292 nucleotides) under Elaeis guineensis (African oil palm). RNAcentral's name for it is "long non-coding RNA (EGUI_LNC052202)". Lineage: Eukaryota; Viridiplantae; Streptophyta; Magnoliopsida; Arecales; Arecaceae. The record is from RNAcentral.
CUAGAUCUAACAAUUAAAUCUAACAUUGCAAUAAAUAUAAAAUAAAAAUCAUUAUCAAAUAAUUUUGAUAUUAAUUUUUUUUAGUCCAAUGGUUGGAGAAGGUAUUCUUCAAGUCACUUACAAUCACACAAAGUCAUCUGGUCUCUACAGAAAAAUCCACGCAAAGAUGGCACAGAUCAGAGGCUUGGAGGUGCUAGCCUGCAAGCAACUUCGACAACUGAUCUUUUCCUUCUUCUUCAAGCACCUUGGAUACUCUAAAGUAAUAGAAGAUCUGGAGGUAGAAGAGAGGAGG